GCCGCGUGUGUGAAGAAGGCCUUCGGGUUGUAAAGCACUUUUGUCCGGAAAGAAAUCCUUGGCUCUAAUACAGUCGGGGGAUGACGGUACCGGAAGAAUAAGCACCGGCUAACUACGUGCCAGCAGCCGCGGUAAUACGUAGGGUGCAAGCGUUAAUCGGAAUUACUGGGCGUAAAGCGUGCGCAGGCGGUUUGCUAAGACCGAUGUGAAAUCCCCGGGCUCAACCUGGGAACUGCAUUGGUGACUGGCAGGCUAGAGUAUGGCAGAGGGGGGUAGAAUUCCACGUGUAGCAGUGAAAUGCGUAGAGAUGUGGAGGAAUACCGAUGGCGAAGGCAGCCCCCUGGGCCAAUACUGACGCUCAUGCACGAAAGCGUGGGGAGCAAACAGGAUUAGAUACCCUGGUAGUCCACGCCCUAAACGAUGUCAACUAGUUGUUGGGGAUUCAUUUCCUUAGUAACGUAGCUAACGCGUGAAGUUGACCGCCUGGGGAGUACGGUCGCAAGAUUAAAACUCAAAGGAAUUGACGGGGACCCGCACAAGCGGUGGAUGAUGUGGAUUAAUUCGAUGCAACGCGAAAAACCUUACCUACCCUUGACAUGGUCGGAAUCCCGCUGAGAGGUGGGAGUGCUCGAAAGAGAACCGGCGCACAGGUGCUGCAUGGCUGUCGUCAGCUCGUGUCGUGAGAUGUUGGGUUAAGUCCCGCAACGAGCGCAACCCUUGUCCUUAGUUGCUACGCAAGAGCACUCUAAGGAGACUGCCGGUGACAAACCGGAGGAAGGUGGGGGAUGACGUCAAGUCCUCAUGGCCCUUAUGGGUAGGGCU
This 822-nucleotide ribosomal RNA is filed under the name Burkholderia sp. RNAcentral's name for it is "bacterial SSU rRNA". It matches the Rfam family "Bacterial small subunit ribosomal RNA", at positions 396 to 1215 of the family's 1533-position model. The record is from RNAcentral. Lineage: Bacteria; Pseudomonadati; Pseudomonadota; Betaproteobacteria; Burkholderiales; Burkholderiaceae.